GCCCCCAUAGCUCAGCGGUUAGAGCAGCGAGCUUAUACCUCGUAUCGUGUCUGAUAAACACAAGGUCCUGGGUUCGAAUCCCAGUGGGGGUACCA
RNAcentral lists this transfer RNA (95 nucleotides) under Actinomyces oris. RNAcentral describes it as "tRNA-Ile". It matches the Rfam family "tRNA". From Rfam's summary of the family: Transfer RNA (tRNA) molecules are approximately 80 nucleotides in length. Lineage: Bacteria; Bacillati; Actinomycetota; Actinomycetes; Actinomycetales; Actinomycetaceae. The record is from RNAcentral.